GUGUACAAGCAUAGGUAUGGCAUAGAUAAAAGAUCACGACAAAACGGACAGAAGUUGGAGCCCCAUUGGAGGCUUCGGCUGUUUUCUGCUCUUUGGUCGGGGUGUUUUCUCUUUGGCAUAUUCCCUAUUUCCCUCAAUUUUUAGUAGAAAAUAGCAAAGAUAUGAAACAAAUGUGAUGUUAAUCCUAUCAGAAGUGUAAAUAAAAAGUCACUUGUAUUCUAAUUCAAG
RNAcentral lists this long non-coding RNA (228 nucleotides) under Mytilus galloprovincialis (Mediterranean mussel). Lineage: Eukaryota; Metazoa; Mollusca; Bivalvia; Mytilida; Mytilidae. The record is from RNAcentral.